RNAcentral lists this ribosomal RNA (443 nucleotides) under uncultured bacterium. RNAcentral's name for it is "partial 16S rRNA". It matches the Rfam family "Bacterial small subunit ribosomal RNA", at positions 219 to 644 of the family's 1533-position model. The record is from RNAcentral.
UUAUAGAUGGACCCGCGGUGUAUUAGCUAGUUGGUGAGGUAACGGCUCACCAAGGCAACGAUACAUAGCCGACCUGAGAGGGUGAUCGGCCACACUGGGACUGAGACACGGCCCAGACUCCUACGGGAGGCAGCAGUAGGGAAUNUUCCGCAAUGGACGAAAGUCUGACGGANGCAACGCCGCGNGAGNGAAGAAGGUUUUCGGAUCGUAAAACUCUGUUGUAAGGGAAGAACAAGUACGUUAGUAACUGAACGUACCUNUNAGACNNGNGUACNUUCUUACCAGAAAGCCACGGCUAACUACGUGCCAGCAGCCGCGGUAAUACGUAGGUGGCAAGCGUUAUCCGGAAUUAUUGGGCGUAAAGCGCGCGUAGGCGGUCUCUUAAGUCUGAUGUGAAAGCCCCCGGCUCAACCGGGGAGGGUCAUUGGAAACUGGGAGACUUG